RNAcentral lists this long non-coding RNA (761 nucleotides) under Phascolarctos cinereus (koala). RNAcentral's name for it is "lncRNA (ENSPCIG00000035678.1)". Lineage: Eukaryota; Metazoa; Chordata; Mammalia; Diprotodontia; Phascolarctidae. The record is from RNAcentral.
CAGCAAUUUUUUAUCUUCCUUCUCUGCUUCCCAGUUUCCCCCUCCAGAGGCCAGCGAACAAACGUCACAGGCCCGGAUCUUCAACUCCCGAGUUCCUACCCUGCCCUGAUGGCCACUGGUACCACUCCCCACAGCCCGCUGUACCGGGUCCUGGUCCGGGUGUCUGAGAGCUGCUCUGGAAUAGAGAAGAAGCUGCAGAAGUAUUUCCAGAACCCAUGAGUGCUCCCAGGAAGAGAUUAGCAGUCUAACUUCUAUGCACAAAUGUCCUAUCACAACCAGCACUGUUACCUUUGAAAAGUGAGUUUCCUUCAAGUUCUCCAUUGUUUUGCCUGUAAGUCCUUUAAAGUUAACAUGGUUUCUCCAUUUAUGGGUCCUAGGAUUAUUCAAGUGAAGAGCUGCACAAUCUCCAUUUUCUGGACAAAUUUCAUUUUGAAAAACUCACUGUUAUUUUAGAAAGGUGAGUUUGCAGAAUUGAAUUUGCUUAAGAAAUUUAUAGAGGUUGAGGGUGGGGGCAUCAGUCAGGGCAACCCCAGACUGGUGCCUCCUGAUGGGCCAGUGAAAUGGUUCCACUGCACUCCUGAGGUAUCUUUCUUUGCAAGUGCUGCUAUCUGUACCAGUAAAAAGAAUAACUCACUUGUAUAAAGAAAGCUGUACGUUUUGGGUCACUUUUGAUCCUUUGAGUAAACAAAUUCAUAAUUUUCUUAUCCCAGUGUUUCAGGGGAGAGACCAUAGGAUAACACAGGAUAAGUAACUUGGUUACC